Molecule: ribosomal RNA, 1371 nt
Filed under: uncultured bacterium
Lineage: Bacteria
Description: bacterial SSU rRNA
Rfam family: Bacterial small subunit ribosomal RNA
Source: RNAcentral
GAUGAACGCUGGCGGCGUGCCUAAUACAUGCAAGUCGAGCGAACGGACGAGAAGCUUGCUUCUCUGAUGUUAGCGGCGGACGGGUGAGUAACACGUGGAUAACCUACCUAUAAGACUGGGAUAACUUCGGGAAACCGGAGCUAAUACCGGAUAAUAUUUUGAACCGCAUGGUUCAAAAGUGAAAGACGGUCUUGCUGUCACUUAUAGAUGGAUCCGCGCUGCAUUAGCUAGUUGGUAAGGUAACGGCUUACCAAGGCAACGAUGCAUAGCCGACCUGAGAGGGUGAUCGGCCACACUGGAACUGAGACACGGUCCAGACUCCUACGGGAGGCAGCAGUAGGGAAUCUUUCGCAAUGGGCGAAAGCCUGACGGAGCAACGCCGCGUGAGUGAUGAAGGUCUUCGGAUCGUAAAACUCUGUUAUUAGGGAAGAACAUAUGUGUAAGUAACUGUGCACAUCUUGACGGUACCUAAUCAGAAAGCCACGGCUAACUACGUGCCAGCAGCCGCGGUAAUACGUAGGUGGCAAGCGUUAUCCGGAAAUAUUGGGCGUAAAGCGCGCGUAGGCGGUUUUUUAGUCUGAUGUGAAAGCCCACGGCUCAACCGUGGAGGGUCAUUGGAAACUGGAAAACUUGAGUGCAGAAGAGGAAAGUGGAAUUCCAUGUGUAGCGGUGAAAUGCGCAGAGAUAUGGAGGAACACCAGUGGCGAAGGCGACUUUCUGGUCUGUAACUGACGCUGAUGUGCGAAAGCGUGGGGAUCAAACAGGAUUAGAUACCCUGGUAGUCCACGCCGUAGACGAUGAGUGCUAAGUGUUAGGGGGUUUCCGCCCCUUAGUGCUGCAGCUAACGCAUUAAGCACUCCGCCUGGGGAGUACGACCGCAAGGUUGAAACUCAAAGGAAUUGACGGGGACCCGCACAAGCGGUGGAGCAUGUGGUUUAAUUCGAAGCAACGCGAAGAACCUUACCAAAUCUUGACAUCCUUUGACAACUCUAGAGAUAGAGCCUUCCCCUUCGGGGGACAAAGUGACAGGUGGUGCAUGGUUGUCGUCAGCUCGUGUCGUGAGAUGUUGGGUUAAGUCCCGCAACGAGCGCAACCCUUAAGCUUAGUUGCCAUCAUUAAGUUGGGCACUCUAAGUUGACUGCCGGUGACAAACCGGAGGAAGGUGGGGAUGACGUCAAAUCAUCAUGCCCCUUAUGAUUUGGGCUACACACGUGCUACAAUGGACAAUACAAAGGGCAGCGAAACCGCGAGGUCAAGCAAAUCCCAUAAAGUUGUUCUCAGUUCGGAUUGUAGUCUGCAACUCGACUACAUGAAGCUGGAAUCGCUAGUAAUCGUAGAUCAGCAUGCUACGGUGAAUACGUUCCCGGGUCU